RNAcentral lists this ribosomal RNA (969 nucleotides) under Enterococcus faecium. RNAcentral describes it as "partial 23S ribosomal RNA". It matches the Rfam family "Bacterial large subunit ribosomal RNA", at positions 127 to 1097 of the family's 2925-position model. The record is from RNAcentral. Lineage: Bacteria; Bacillati; Bacillota; Bacilli; Lactobacillales; Enterococcaceae.
CCCAACAUCUUUAAUAGGAUGUUACGAUUGUGUGAAUACAUAGCACAUUCGAGGUAGACGCAGAGAACUGAAACAUCUAAGUACCUGCAGGAAGAGAAAGAAAAUUCGAUUCCCUGAGUAGCGGCGAGCGAAACGGGAAAAGCCCAAACCAGCAAGCUUGCUUGUUGGGGUUGUAGGACUCCAAUAUGGUAGUUCUUUCAGAUAGUCGAAUGACUUGGAAAAGUCAGUCAAAGAGGGUAAAAACCCCGUAGACGAAAUGUGGAAGACACCUAGGAGGAUCCUGAGUACGGCGGAACACGAGAAAUUCCGUCGGAAUCCGGGAGGACCAUCUCCCAAGGCUAAAUACUCCCUAGUGACCGAUAGUGAACCAGUACCGUGAGGGAAAGGUGAAAAGCACCCCGGAAGGGGAGUGAAAUAGAACCUGAAACCGUGUGCCUACAACAAGUCAAAGCCCGUUAAUGGGUGAUGGCGUGCCUUUUGUAGAAUGAACCGGCGAGUUACGAUUGCAUGCGAGGUUAAGUUGAAGAGACGGAGCCGCAGCGAAAGCGAGUCUGAAUAGGGCGUUUGAGUAUGUAGUCGUAGACCCGAAACCAUGUGAUCUACCCAUGUCCAGGUUGAAGGUGCGGUAAAACGCACUGGAGGACCGAACCCACGUACGUUGAAAAGUGCGGGGAUGAGGUGUGGGUAGCGGAGAAAUUCCAAACGAACUUGGAGAUAGCUGGUUCUCUCCGAAAUAGCUUUAGGGCUAGCCUCGGAAUUGAGAAUGAUGGAGGUAGAGCACUGUUUGGACUAGGGGCCCAUCUCGGGUUACCGAAUUCAGAUAAACUCCGAAUGCCAUUCAUUCAUAUCCGGGAGUCAGACUGUGAGUGAUAAGAUCCAUAGUCGAAAGGGAAACAGCCCAGACCACCAGCUAAGGUCCCAAAAUAUAUGUUAAGUGGAAAAGGAUGUGGGGUUGCACAGACAACUAGG